This 106-nucleotide small nucleolar RNA is filed under the name Thalictrum thalictroides. Its description in RNAcentral is "Plant small nucleolar RNA R71". It matches the Rfam family "Plant small nucleolar RNA R71". From Rfam's summary of the family: R71 is a member of the C/D box family of snoRNAs containing the C (UGAUGA) and D (CUGA) box motifs. The record is from Rfam by way of RNAcentral. Lineage: Eukaryota; Viridiplantae; Streptophyta; Magnoliopsida; Ranunculales; Ranunculaceae.
AUUUGAUGAUGUGGACAUUGUAUUGUAACUCCACAAAUCUUUCCCAAGCUUCAAAAAAUUCUUCCGUAUGUUUUUGUCUAAAAGUUUGAAUUUUGUUUCUUAACUC